This is a small nuclear RNA of Dipodomys ordii (Ord's kangaroo rat), 105 nucleotides long. Lineage: Eukaryota; Metazoa; Chordata; Mammalia; Rodentia; Heteromyidae. The record is from Ensembl.
GUGCUCUCUUUGGCAGCACACAUAGUAAAAUUGGAAUGAUACAGGGAAGAUUACAUCACUCCUGUACAGGAAGACUCACAAAUUUGUGAAGUAUUCCCUAUUUAA